ACUCCUACGGGAGGCAGCAGUCGAGAAUUUUUCUCAAUGGGCGAAAGCCUGGCCCAGCGACGCCGCGUGGAGGAUGAAGCCUUUCGGGGUGUAAACUCCUUUUGUUAAGGACGAAUCUGUGACGGUACUUAACGAAUAAGCCCCGGCAAACUACGUGCCAGCAGCCGCGGUAAU
RNAcentral lists this ribosomal RNA (174 nucleotides) under uncultured bacterium. RNAcentral describes it as "partial 16S ribosomal RNA". It matches the Rfam family "Bacterial small subunit ribosomal RNA", at positions 335 to 524 of the family's 1533-position model. The record is from RNAcentral.